AUCUGGGUAGCUUAAAUGUAGAGCGUAGCACUGAAGCUGCUAAGGUAUUUUUAGGAUUCCUAGAUG
Molecule: transfer RNA, 66 nt
Filed under: Micrura ignea
Lineage: Eukaryota; Metazoa; Nemertea; Pilidiophora; Heteronemertea; Lineidae
Description: tRNA-Phe
Rfam family: tRNA
About the family: Transfer RNA (tRNA) molecules are approximately 80 nucleotides in length. Their secondary structure includes four short double-helical elements and three loops (D, anti-codon, and T loops).
Source: RNAcentral